RNAcentral lists this non-coding RNA (24 nucleotides) under Arabidopsis thaliana (thale cress). Lineage: Eukaryota; Viridiplantae; Streptophyta; Magnoliopsida; Brassicales; Brassicaceae. The record is from RNAcentral.
UUAAGAAUUUUUGGUACACUCGAC